AACGAACGCUGGCGGCAUGCCUAACACAUGCAAGUCGAACGAGACCUUCGGGUCUAGUGGCGCACGGGUGCGUAACGCGUGGGAACCUGCCCUUAGGUUCGGAAUAACUCCCCGAAAGGGGUGCUAAUACCGGAUAAUGUCUUCGGACCAAGGAUUUAUCGCCUUUGGAUGGGCCCGCGUUGGAUUAGCUAGUUGGUAGGGUAAAAGCCUACCAAGGCGACGAUGCAUAGCUGGUCUGAGAGGAUGAUCAGCCACACUGGGACUGAGACACGGCCCAGACUCCUACGGGAGGCAGCAGUGGGGAAUAUUGGACAAUGGGCGAAAGCCUGAUCCAGCAAUGCCGCGUGAGUGAUGAAGGCCUUAGGGUUGUAAAGCUCUUUUACCCGGGAUGAUAAUGACAGUACCGGGAGAAUAAGCUCCGGCUAACUCCGUG
This 433-nucleotide ribosomal RNA is filed under the name uncultured bacterium. Its description in RNAcentral is "partial 16S ribosomal RNA". It matches the Rfam family "Bacterial small subunit ribosomal RNA", at positions 29 to 507 of the family's 1533-position model. The record is from RNAcentral.